UUGGUUGUUGCUGACUACAGAAAGAUUCUUAUAUGGAGGCAUGUAAAAGCAAGGAAAGUGAAACUUCAGCUAGACCUUGAGUUCAGUUUACAAUAUGAAGAUCCUGAUAUCAACAUCUGAUCUGAUCAACACCUGAUUUUCAUCUGAGCUGCAGAGUACCAACAUGUUACAAAUGAGAAUUUUCCCCACAAAUUCUUUGGACAACCGCACCACCACCUAUUUCAUUUGAUGACAAUUUUAAGGCAAACAGCAUCCAAAACUGACAAGACAGCAGAUACCCUGGCUAAUCUUUUGAAGGUUUAUGAUGAGCAGGAACUGCAUGAUGUCAGUUCAUGAUGGACUACUGUUAUCAGAGGUCUUUUGGUCUUGCUGCGUGAGCGUGACCGGG
This is a long non-coding RNA of Danio aesculapii, 388 nucleotides long. RefSeq lists it as uncharacterized. The transcript is spliced from 4 exons. NCBI's taxonomy places the organism in Eukaryota, Metazoa, Chordata, Actinopteri, Cypriniformes, Danionidae. The record is from RefSeq and is a predicted model, not a curated record.